Sarcophilus harrisii (Tasmanian devil) is the source of this 3458-nucleotide long non-coding RNA. The record is from Ensembl. Lineage: Eukaryota; Metazoa; Chordata; Mammalia; Dasyuromorphia; Dasyuridae.
UCCUGUGUGGGUGUGUGGGUGGGGAGAGUGGAGUCCCACAGAAACAGGGAAGAUCAAUUGUUGGCAGGACCAUGGAAGGGACCGAGGAUAUUUAUAUAAAUCAAGGGUUGUCCCCCAAGAAGAGGGUCAAGAAGAAAGAUCCCCCAGCAGGUGCCGAUAAAUUUAAAGAAGACAAUGAACCUGAUUAUGAAAACAUCUCGGUGAUCACAAAGAACAAAAAUGAUCCUCUGAAGCAACAAUCAGUGUCCAUCCAAUGGGCCCCUCCUGCUUCAGCUCCAAGCAAUUCUUCAAGACAUUCCUCAGUGCAAAAGUCUCUCCUGGGAAUUUACCUCUUCCUGGGCCUGGCUUUCCUGCUGUGCAUUGUCUCCGUGUCUCUGUUAGUGGUGAAAAAUUCUGAAUUUUCCAUGCACCUGAGGAGUAUGAAAAUUGAGCUGUGGAAUGUCUCUAGCAUGCUCCAGAAGGAGCAGGAUAAUGCUCAGCAACUGAAGACUCAGAUCACCGAAAUAAAGAACACCACAAAAGUCUAUAACAAAGUCUUUCAACAAAUUUUAAGAGACCUGUCGGACAGUAGUUCUAAGUUGAAUUAUUUGAAAAAUCAAUUACAAAAACUGAAAGAGGCUCAAAAAUCAGGACCAAGUUCCAAACAUAAUUCAACUGGCUAAAAAAGGAGACCAACCUAUCGUCUGGAAGACUGCACCUUUGGGAGAAGCUUUGGGAGGGCCUCUGUGUCCUUCCUAUUAUGAGCUGGGGUGCAGAGAGACCUUUGUCAGUUUCCACAAUGGGUUGGCAUGGAAUGAAUGGCUUGAGAUCUGCAUUAUUUGGAAUUUCAAGAUAGAUGAAACCACUUUCCCAAAGUAGUAUUAAAUGGAACAAAAAGAUACGGCUGAAACCCAUCACUUGUCUGGAUUCCCAACUCAACUUGAAACUUCACUUUCACCAAGGGAAUAACUAUUCUUCACAACACUGUACUGAGAAGGACUAAGGGCCAUUCCCCCUCAAUAUAAUAGUCAUAAAUUGGCAAAAUGUUUGGUUUCAUCUUGUCAGUGUUAACUCAAUUUUGACUUCCAUACUGAUGUCCAAACCCUGGAGCUUGGAAAUUGUCUUGAGGGAGUGCUGGUCAAUGUUGUAAACUCUCCCUCUAUCCCCAUACUUUCCUCAAAGUUUGUAGCACCAAAAAUUCAGACUGAAAACUUCCUACUCAGGUUGCAUCUUGGAAGAAAUUUGGGUUUUCCAUGUAUCUAGGCAGCCUUUGCUUCUCCAGAAACUUGGUUGCCUCAAAUCACAGAUGCCACUGAGACAAGGGGACUAUUUCCUGCUUCCAUGUCAUAGGCAGUGACUCCCAUCCAGAAUCUCAUGAUGACUAAAUCUAUGGUGUUCUCUUUUGUAUAAUAUAUGAUGGUUCUCUGUGGGCAGGUUUCUUGGGGAGAUUUUAUGGAGAUCGUCUCAGUUUCAGUUCAGAGUAAUAAUCACCUCAAAUGCAGCCAGCUGAUAAAAUCCAAACGUUUAUUUUCUUCUUCCAAGUCUUUCUUUCCUUGGGCCCAGAAAGCUUUCUUAGAGGCCUCAGCUUUCCUUGCUUCCGAGAGCUCUCGUUGCUAGUCUUUUGCCUCUAGCUCAACUCUGACUCUUGGCAAUCUUCUGAACUGACACUCCUCCACUCUGAAUCUUUUCAACUGAACUCUGCUGACUUAGCUCAGCUCAUUUUAUGCUCGGUGUAAAAGGUUGCCUCCUCCGAGAGAGAGUGGGAUUGUGGGUUUCUGACUUGUGAAUCUCAUACUGAAUACUGACUUGUGAAUCUCUCAAAAGUGUGAACUCCAAUGAGUACUUAAAUACAUUAGUGAGCUAGAGGAUUUGCUAAGUACCAUGCUAAAUUAGGCAACUGACUUAUCACUUUGUAAGGAUUAUAACAUCUCCCCUUUUCUUUUGAUUUAGAACAUAGGUGGUCAUGACCUCCCUGACUUCUCAAGGAGGUGAGAACCCCCAAAAAGAAGGUGAUCAUGUCUUCCCUGACUGCUCAAAAAAGAAGUGAAAACACCAUAAAAAGAAGGUGGUCACACCCUCCUUGACAUCUCAGGAAGGGAGACAAAAACACCAAAGGAAAUAGGAAAUCAAAUCAGAUUAGCGUGUUUCUGAAGGGGCUCAUUUGAAACAGAUGGGGAAACUGAGUCAGACAGCAGUUAAAUGAUUUGCCCAGAGUACUAUCUUAUACAGGAUGUGAACUCACCUGAACUUCUGGACUCCAGUCCUCUGGACACCAGAUUAGGUGUAGGGAUAGGAUUUUACCCCUAAGAAAAGGACCCACAUGUGCAAAAAUGUUUGCAACAGCUCUUUCUGUUGUAGCAAAGAAUCGGAAAAGGAGUGGAUGUCUAUCAAUUGGGGAAUGGUUGAACAAGUUGUGGUAUGUGAAGGUAAUGGGAUAUUAUUGUUCUAUAAAAAAUGAUGAACAAGCUGAUUAUAGAAAGACCUGGAAAUAUUUACAUGAACUGAUGCUGAGUGAAACAAGCAGAACCAGAAAUACAUUGUACACAAUAACAGCAAGAAUGUAUGAUGAUCAACUAUGAAAGGCUUGGUUCUUUUUAAUGUUAAGUGAUUCAAAGCAAUCCCAAUAGACUUUGGACAGGAAAUGCCAUCUGUAUCCAGAAAAAAGAACUAAGAAGACUGAAUGUAAAACAAUACAUGCUAUGUUCAUUUCUUUUUUCUGUUUUUUUUUUUUUUUUUUUAUUUCUCCCAUGGUUUUUCCCCUUUGCUUUGAUUUUUCUCUCCUAACACAAUCCAUAAAGCAAUGUGUAUUAAAAAUAAACAAACUUUUUACAAUAAAAAAGGGGAUUUUGCCCCUGAGGGCUGCUUUAGUUAUAUUCCAGAAAUUUUAGUACAUUAUUUUUAUCAUCUUUAUUAUGCUUGUUAAUUAUUUCUGUGAUUUCUUCUCUGACCUACUCAUUAUUUAGAACUUCAUUGUUAAGUCUCCAUUUGGAUUUGUGUCUUUUAUUUGUGGUUCUUGAACCAAUGAUAUAUUGUGUCAUGGUCUAUAAAAAUAUAUUUACCAUUUCUUCAAGCUUACACUUGUUUGCAAUGCUUCUGUGGUCUAGUAUAUGGUCAGUUUUUAUAAAAGUUCCAUGUAGUGCUGAGAAUAUAUAGAUUCUUUUGCAGUCCCAUUUAGAGGAAAACAUAAGUUCUAGUUUCUCUAAUUUGUUCAUUUCUAAAUUGUCUAUUUUUCUUUUGUUUUUGCUUUCUGUUAGACUUAUUUAAAACUGAGUAAGGAUAAAAAGUGUUCUAUCACUUACUGUCUUUUUCUAUCUCCUUUACUAUUUCCUUUAUGAAUUUGGAUACUAAGGCAUUUGGAGCAUAUACAUUUAUUACUAAUAUUGACUUGUUGUCUAUGAUUUCUUUUAGUAGUUUACUUGUUUAUCUUUUUUAUUUUUUGAGUAUUUGUUUUUGCUUUUGUUAGAUUGUACUUCCUGUCU